GUCUAAUCCCCAUUAUUUGUAAAGUAUGUCUAAUAUUCGGUCGAAAUAGUGUUCCUAAUUCGUCUACUGUGAAAAGAAUAAUUAAAAAAUUUGAAAAUACUGCUUCGAUUAGUGAUGGAAAUAUCCGAUACGAGCUCGUAGAGGUCUUUCAGAACAGAACAUCAUAGUCACAUCUCGCGAACUGCGAGAGUGUGAUAGAAAGGCCAGAGGCGUCGAUUCGUUAUGGGGCAUAAGAACUGAACAUUUCAGCAGGCACUUUUAAGCGAAUUCUCACUAAAGAUUUACAGCUGCAUGUCUAUAAAAUCCAACUGACUCGAGAACUUCUGUUAGCAGACCAUGAACAGCGACGAUAAUUCAUCAAUGGUAUCCUUGAGCAACUUUAGAAAGCAAUGCAUCCACAACAUCUCACUCUUUGGUGUGCAUUAUGAUCUGGAGGAAUAAUUGGACCAUUUUUCUUCAAAAACGAAGAAGCAAGAUGGUGCCACAUGUCAUACCGCCAGUGAAGUAUUGUCGAUCUUGCACGAGUUUGCUUCUGGCCGUGUCAUUUCCGGAUUUGGUGAUCAGAAUUGGCCUCCACGCCCCUACAAUUUAACGUCUUUAGACUUAGAGGUUAUGUGAAGUUACAGAUUUAUGUCAAUAAGCCUACAACCAUCGAAGCAUUGAAAGUCAAAAUUAGACGCUAUAUCAAUGAAAUAUUACCAUAUGUAUACAAUAACGUUAUUGAAAAUUUCAUCAUAUGACUACCCUUAUAUGCCAGCAAAGCCGUGGCGACCAUUUACAAGAUAUUUUGUUUCAUACAUGAUUCCCAACUGUAUAUUUUUUAAAUCAAUAAAUAUUUUAAUAAUUUGUUACAGAAA
Anthonomus grandis grandis is the source of this 857-nucleotide long non-coding RNA. RefSeq lists it as uncharacterized. NCBI's taxonomy places the organism in Eukaryota, Metazoa, Arthropoda, Insecta, Coleoptera, Curculionidae. The record is from RefSeq and is a predicted model, not a curated record. The transcript is spliced from 2 exons.